UCUAUAGAUACAUAUUAUAAAAACAAAAUCUUUUUGAUGCAUUAUUUGUUUUAUUAUAAAAUAAUGAAAACCAUAUCAAUAAAUUAAAAGUUUGAAUAUAUUUCUAACUGUUGAGAGCACUAAUUUGCAUUUAGAAAUUUCUUUAUAACUAUGUUUGUAAAUCUUCUUCCAAUAUAAACAAUAUGAAGUGUGCAUCACAAAUAAAUUUAUCAAAAUGCCUCAAGAGGUUAAAACCCUCCCUCCAGUCUCCAGUCAAUUUUUUUUAAUGAAUUUUCAAAUUUACCUCAUACAUUCAAAUGCAAGAAUUUAAGGAAUCUCAAAAUCAAAGGAAGAAAACAGUUUGGCAAUAAUUUAUAAAUUAUAUAGUUAUCAAUAAAGUUGUAAACUUAAUUGUUGUAAAAAAAAAAUCACAUUCCCAGUACAGGACAAUAUUACCCCUGUAGUAGUCAUGAUAAAGCUGACUUUAAAUACAAACUGACCUUGAUCUUUGAUCUAAAAAUCGUGUUCUAUACAUUUUCAUUUUUUGUAAGUUUUAAUUAGAGUUACCAUCCAGAAUUUUUUCUACCAGACAUAUGGAGAGACAAGCAGAAAAACAAGGAUAUCUUUAUGCUCUAGAUUUUUAUUUGUGUCCCUAUAAAAAUCAUAGAUUCUCAUCGUCCCUGCCAUAAAGGAGCAAAAACAAUCUAAUGAUUUAUUUUAUUUUUUUUUUUAGAUGGUCUAAAAAAAAACAACAAAAAAUGGCAAAAAAACAACAACAAACCAGAUGCUCCGCAGGGCGUAGCUUUAUACGACCGCAGAUGUUGAACCCUGAACGGUUGGGGCAAGUAUGGACACAACAUUCAAGCUGGAUUCAGCUCUAAAUUUGGAUUGUGAUUAAAUAGUUGACACAGCAUAGGUUUCUGACACAGAAUGAAUGUGUUCUAAUGAACUUAAAAUUUUUGUUUUCUCUUAGAGCAAUUCACUAUGCUGUUGAAUAUUAAUCCUCUCAAAAAAAUGUUUGAAGAAAUUUUCUUUUUUAUUUAUGAAAUUUCAAAUGAGAAAAAUUGAACCCAAUUUUUUAAAUCACAUCCCCCUUUCCCUUAUUCCAAAACUAAUCUCAAUUAAAAUUUCUAAGAGAGUUUGCAACAAUAACUACUCAUUUAAAUACAUCAUAAAAUAUUAAGAUGUAAAAAAACUG
Molecule: long non-coding RNA, 1177 nt
Filed under: Mytilus galloprovincialis (Mediterranean mussel)
Lineage: Eukaryota; Metazoa; Mollusca; Bivalvia; Mytilida; Mytilidae
Source: RNAcentral